RNAcentral lists this transfer RNA (76 nucleotides) under Clostridiaceae bacterium. RNAcentral's name for it is "tRNA-Thr". It matches the Rfam family "tRNA". Rfam says of the family: Transfer RNA (tRNA) molecules are approximately 80 nucleotides in length. Their secondary structure includes four short double-helical elements and three loops (D, anti-codon, and T loops). The record is from RNAcentral. Lineage: Bacteria; Bacillati; Bacillota; Clostridia; Eubacteriales; Clostridiaceae. RNAcentral also lists the same sequence under 1 other name.
GCCUGUGUAGCUCAGUUGGUAGAGCAGCUGAUUUGUAAUCAGCCGGUCGUUGGUUCGAGUCCGAUCACAGGCUCCA